Molecule: ribosomal RNA, 265 nt
Filed under: uncultured bacterium
Lineage: Bacteria
Description: partial 16S ribosomal RNA
Rfam family: Bacterial small subunit ribosomal RNA
Source: RNAcentral
GUCCACGCCGUAAACGAUGAGUGCUAGAUGCUGUGGGUAUUGACCCCCGCGGUGUCGCAGCCAACGCGUUAAGCACUCCGCCUGGGGAGUACGGCCGCAAGGCUAAAACUCAAAGGAAUUGACGGGGGCCCGCACAAGCGGUGGAGCAUGUGGUUCAAUUCGACGCAACGCGCAGAACCUUACCUGGGUUAAAUCCACUCGAAGCUGGCAGAGAUGCCGGUUUGCUCUUCGGAGAGCGAGUGAGAAGGUGCUGCAUGGCUGUCGU